UACGGGGGGGGCAAGCGUUGUUCGGAAUUACUGGGCGUAAAGGGUUCGUAGGUGGCGUGCUAAGUCAGACGUGAAAUCCCUCAGCUUAACUGGGGAACUGCGUCUGAGACUGGCAGGCUCGAGUGCAGGAGAGGAACGCGGAAUUGCAGGUGUAGCGGUGAAAUGCGUAGAUAUCUGGAGGAACACCGGUGGCGAAGGCGGCGUUCUGGACUGCAACUGACACUGAAGAACGAAAGUCAGGGGAGCAAACGGG
This 253-nucleotide ribosomal RNA is filed under the name uncultured Acidobacteriota bacterium. RNAcentral describes it as "uncultured Acidobacteria bacterium partial 16S ribosomal RNA". It matches the Rfam family "Bacterial small subunit ribosomal RNA", at positions 524 to 776 of the family's 1533-position model. Lineage: Bacteria; Pseudomonadati; Acidobacteriota. The record is from RNAcentral.